GGCUGUGGUGGGACGCUGCUGACUCUGGCAUUUGCUGUACUCCAAUGAGGGCUUCCUGAGCCCACGUCUGUCGGACUCUAACUUGCAUUAUGCACGAGUAGUUCGACGCAGCCGGCGUCUCUCUCUCUCUCUCUCUCUCUCUCUCUCUCUUUCAACAAUUGCUGCUAUUGUCAAUGCUUGCAGCAGUAGGUAAUUGACUGACCACCACCAGCUUUUUUGUGCUGGCAUGUAUCCUAGGGGUGGAUGUGCAGCAGUUGCGUAUCAGUGAUUGCAGCGAUG
RNAcentral lists this long non-coding RNA (279 nucleotides) under Musa acuminata (dwarf banana). RNAcentral's name for it is "long non-coding RNA (MACU_LNC003782)". Lineage: Eukaryota; Viridiplantae; Streptophyta; Magnoliopsida; Zingiberales; Musaceae. The record is from RNAcentral.